Oryza glumipatula is the source of this 207-nucleotide non-coding RNA. Lineage: Eukaryota; Viridiplantae; Streptophyta; Magnoliopsida; Poales; Poaceae. The record is from Rfam.
AAUAAGUGUAGUUUUACACUAUUCACAUUCAACGUUUGACCAUUCGUCUUAUUUGAAUUUUUUUUAUGAUUAGUAUUUUUAUUGCUAUUAGAUGAUAAAACAUGAAAGUGCUUUAUGUAUGACUAAAUUUUUUAAAUUUUUUCAUAAAUUUUUCAAAUAAGACGGACAAUCAAACGUUGGACACGGAUAUCCACGGCUGUAUUUAUU